UCAUUUCAAAUUUUCUGCAAUCCUGCUACAUCUCCUUCUCGUAGUUGAAGAUCCAAUUUCGAAAUCCCUUUGACAUGGAAAUCCCCCAAGAAACUGAUGAUUACAUAACAGAAUCAAUCGAUCAAAGCAUCGGUUUGAAGAUUUUAAACUUCAAGCUGUCGAAGCGUCGCGGACUCACCUCCGUCGCCAGUAUCCCUCUCUGCAAUCCAAGCUAAAAGAGAAAGAUGACACCAUUGAACGAUCUAGGGUUUGUAUUUGCUGCUUCUCUUCGAAUUUCACUUUCAGAAUUUUCGAUUUUUGAAGAAGGAAUUGUUUGGGCUAAGGCGAGCAUCAAUGCGGUGGCUUUGAAGGAAAACCAGAAAUUGGCGACGGAAUGCUCUAAUCUGUUGGCGACGUGCAAUAAGUGGAAGAGAGAGUGCUCGCUCUAUGACCACGAUCGUGAAGCUUUGAUGGAUUUUGCAAACGAGGCGGACGAGAGAGCCAAGGAAGCUGAGGUUGAGGCGUUGAGCAGUUGGUGGUGUUGUGAGAUUGAGAAGAGGUUGUUGCUAUAGUUCCAAAGAAUGUCAUGUUUUCACCUGGCAACAGCUGCAGCAUCUCUACAUCAGCAAGUCUACUAUUCAAUAAAUCCCAGCCAAAAAAGAGGCAGAAUUUGCAAUAUGGUUUAAGAAUCAGGGCUCUUCUGCAGAUGAUGCCGAUGACUGCAAUGAAGAAGAAUAUGCCCCUGAUAAAGAGAUUACUUCCUUAAAUCUCAUACAUUCCUCAAAUGAAUAUAAAUUGACGCAUUUCAAUCCUGAGUUG
Salvia hispanica is the source of this 798-nucleotide long non-coding RNA. RefSeq lists it as uncharacterized. NCBI's taxonomy places the organism in Eukaryota, Viridiplantae, Streptophyta, Magnoliopsida, Lamiales, Lamiaceae. The record is from RefSeq and is a predicted model, not a curated record.